AGCAGCUUCGGUAAUUCCAGCUCCAAUAGCGUAUAUUAAAGUUGUUGCAGUUAAAAAGCUCGUAGUUGAAUUUCGGGGUCAGUAGAUUGGUCGUGCCACUGGUAUGUACUGGUCUUACUGGCUCCUCCUUCCUGAUGAACCGUAAUGCCAUUAAUUUGGUGUUGCGGGGAAACUGGACUGUUACUUUGAAAAAAUUAGAGUGUUUAAAGCAGGCUAACGCUUGAAUACAUUAGCAUGGAAUAAUGAAAUAGGACGUUCGAUCUUAUUUUGUUGGUUUCUAGGAUUGACGUAAUGAUUAAUAGGGAUAGUUGGGGGCAUUAGUAUUCAAUUGUCAGAGGUGAAAUUCUUGGAUUUAU
Molecule: ribosomal RNA, 356 nt
Filed under: uncultured Glomeraceae
Lineage: Eukaryota; Fungi; Glomeromycota; Glomeromycetes; Glomerales; Glomeraceae
Description: SSU rRNA
Rfam family: Eukaryotic small subunit ribosomal RNA
Source: RNAcentral